CCUACGGGAGGCAGCAGUGAGGAAUAUUGGUCAAUGGACGCAAGUCUGAACCAGCCAUGCCGCGUGCAGGAAGACGGCUCUAUGAGAUGUAAACUGCUUUUGUACGAGGGUAAACGCAGAUACGCGUAUCUGUCUGCAAGUAUCGUACGAAUAAGGAUCGGCUAACUCCGUGCCAGCAGCCGCGGUAAUACGGAGGAUUCAAGCGUUAUCCGGAUUUAUUGGGUUUAAAGGGUGCGUAGGCGGUCGGAUAAGUUAGAGGUGAAAUCCCGAGGCUCAACUUCGGAAUUGCCUCUGAUACUGUUCGGCUAGAGCGUAGUUGCGGUAGGCGGAAUGUAUGGUGUAGCGGUGAAAUGCUUAGAGAUCAUACAGAACACCGAUUGCGAAGGCAGCUUACCAAGCUACUUCUGACGUUGAGGCACGAAAGCGUGGGGAGCAAACAGGAUUAGAUACCCCAGUAGUC
RNAcentral lists this ribosomal RNA (460 nucleotides) under uncultured bacterium. Its description in RNAcentral is "partial 16S ribosomal RNA". It matches the Rfam family "Bacterial small subunit ribosomal RNA", at positions 338 to 795 of the family's 1533-position model. The record is from RNAcentral.